UACGGAGGGUGCAAGCGUUGUUCGGAAUUACUGGGCGUAAAGGGCGCGCAGGCGGCUCAUCAAGUCAGGCGUGAAAGCCCCGGGCUUAACCUGGGAGGUGCGUCUGGGACUGGUGGGCUAGAGAUCGGGGGAGGAGAGUGGAAUUCCCAGUGUAGAGGUGAAAUUCGUAGAUAUUGGGAAGAACACCGGUGGCGAAGGCGGCUUCCUGGCCUGUUCUUGACGCUGAGGCGCGAAAGCUAGGGGAGCAAACGGG
This 253-nucleotide ribosomal RNA is filed under the name uncultured bacterium. RNAcentral's name for it is "partial 16S ribosomal RNA". It matches the Rfam family "Bacterial small subunit ribosomal RNA", at positions 524 to 776 of the family's 1533-position model. The record is from RNAcentral.